AUGAACGCUGGCGGCGUGCCUAAUACAUGCAAGUCGAGCGAACGGACGAGAAGCUUGCUUCUCUGAUGUUAGCGGCGGACGGGUGAGUAACACGUGGAUAACCUACCUAUAAGACUGGGAUAACUUCGGGAAACCGGAGCUAAUACCGGAUAAUAUUUUGAACCGCAUGGUUCAAAAGUGAAAGACGGUCUUGCUGUCACUUAUAGAUGGAUCCGCGCUGCAUUAGCUAGUUGGUAAGGUAACGGCUUACCAAGGCAACGAUGCAUAGCCGACCUGAGAGGGUGAUCGGCCACACUGGAACUGAGACACGGUCCAGACUCCUACGGGAGGCAGCAGUAGGGAAUCUUCCGCAAUGGGCGAAAGCCUGACGGAGCAACGCCGCGUGAGUGAUGAAGGUCUUCGGAUCGUAAAACUCUGUUAUUAGGGAAGAACAUAUGUGUAAGUAACUGUGCACAUAUUGACGGUACCUAAUCAGAAAGCCACGGCUAACUACGUG
This 496-nucleotide ribosomal RNA is filed under the name uncultured bacterium. RNAcentral's name for it is "partial 16S ribosomal RNA". It matches the Rfam family "Bacterial small subunit ribosomal RNA", at positions 29 to 507 of the family's 1533-position model. The record is from RNAcentral.